This 2820-nucleotide ribosomal RNA is filed under the name Shigella flexneri. RNAcentral's name for it is "partial 23S ribosomal RNA". It matches the Rfam family "Bacterial large subunit ribosomal RNA". Lineage: Bacteria; Pseudomonadati; Pseudomonadota; Gammaproteobacteria; Enterobacterales; Enterobacteriaceae. The record is from RNAcentral.
GGUUAAGCGACUAAGCGUACACGGUGGAUGCCCUGGCAGUCAGAGGCGAUGAAGGACGUGCUAAUCUGCGAUAAGCGUCGGUAAGGUGAUAUGAACCGUUAUAACCGGCGAUUUCCGAAUGGGGAAACCCAGUGUGAUUCGUCACACUAUCAUUAACUGAAUCCAUAGGUUAAUGAGGCGAACCGGGGGAACUGAAACAUCUAAGUACCCCGAGGAAAAGAAAUCAACCGAGAUUCCCCCAGUAGCGGCGAGCGAACGGGGAGCAGCCCAGAGCCUGAAUCAGUGUGUGUGUUAGUGGAAGCGUCUGGAAAGGCGUGCGAUACAGGGUGACAGCCCCGUACACAAAAAUGCACAUACUGUGAGCUCGAUGAGUAGGGCGGGACACGUGGUAUCCUGUCUGAAUAUGGGGGGACCAUCCUCCAAGGCUAAAUACUCCUGACUGACCGAUAGUGAACCAGUACCGUGAGGGAAAGGCGAAAAGAACCCCGGCGAGGGGAGUGAAAAAGAACCUGAAACCGUGUACGUACAAGCAGUGGGAGCACGCUUAGGCGUGUGACUGCGUACCUUUUGUAUAAUGGGUCAGCGACUUAUAUUCUGUAGCAAGGUUAACCGAAUAGGGGAGCCGAAGGGAAACCGAGUCUUAACUGGGCGUUAAGUUGCAGGGUAUAGACCCGAAACCCGGUGAUCUAGCCAUGGGCAGGUUGAAGGUUGGGUAACACUAACUGGAGGACCGAACCGACUAAUGUUGAAAAAUUAGCGGAUGACUUGUGGCUGGGGGUGAAAGGCCAAUCAAACCGGGAGAUAGCUGGUUCUCCCCGAAAGCUAUUUAGGUAGCGCCUCGUGAAUUCAUCUCCGGGGGUAGAGCACUGUUUCGGCAAGGGGGUCAUCCCGACUUACCAACCCGAUGCAAACUGCGAAUACCGGAGAAUGUUAUCACGGGAGACACACGGCGGGUGCUAACGUCCGUCGUGAAGAGGGAAACAACCCAGACCGCCAGCUAAGGUCCCAAAGUCAUGGUUAAGUGGGAAACGAUGUGGGAAGGCCCAGACAGCCAGGAUGUUGGCUUAGAAGCAGCCAUCAUUUAAAGAAAGCGUAAUAGCUCACUGGUCGAGUCGGCCUGCGCGGAAGAUGUAACGGGGCUAAACCAUGCACCGAAGCUGCGGCAGCGACGCUUAUGCGUUGUUGGGUAGGGGAGCGUUCUGUAAGCCUGUGAAGGUGUGCUGUGAGGUAUGCUGGAGGUAUCAGAAGUGCGAAUGCUGACAUAAGUAACGAUAAAGCGGGUGAAAAGCCCGCUCGCCGGAAGACCAAGGGUUCCUGUCCAACGUUAAUCGGGGCAGGGUGAGUCGACCCCUAAGGCGAGGCCGAAAGGCGUAGUCGAUGGGAAACAGGUUAAUAUUCCUGUACUUGGUGUUACUGCGAAGGGGGGACGGAGAAGGCUAUGUUGGCCGGGCGACGGUUGUCCCGGUUUAAGCGUGUAGGCUGGUUUUCCAGGCAAAUCCGGAAAAUCAAGGCCGAGGCGUGAUGACGAGGCACUACGGUGCUGAAGCAACAAAUGCCCUGCUUCCAGGAAAAGCCUCUAAGCAUCAGGUAACAUCAAAUCGUACCCCAAACCGACACAGGUGGUCAGGUAGAGAAUACCAAGGCGCUUGAGAGAACUCGGGUGAAGGAACUAGGCAAAAUGGUGCCGUAACUUCGGGAGAAGGCACGCUGAUACGUAGGUGAAGCGACUUGCUCGUGGAGCUGAAAUCAGUCGAAGAUACCAGCUGGCUGCAACUGUUUAUUAAAAACACAGCACUGUGCAAACACGAAAGUGGACGUAUACGGUGUGACGCCUGCCCGGUGCCGGAAGGUUAAUUGAUGGGGUUAGCGCAAGCGAAGCUCUUGAUCGAAGCCCCGGUAAACGGCGGCCGUAACUAUAACGGUCCUAAGGUAGCGAAAUUCCUUGUCGGGUAAGUUCCGACCUGCACGAAUGGCGUAAUGAUGGCCAGGCUGUCUCCACCCGAGACUCAGUGAAAUUGAACUCGCUGUGAAGAUGCAGUGUACCCGCGGCAAGACGGAAAGACCCCGUGAACCUUUACUAUAGCUUGACACUGAACAUUGAGCCUUGAUGUGUAGGAUAGGUGGGAGGCUUUGAAGUGUGGACGCCAGUCUGCAUGGAGCCGACCUUGAAAUACCACCCUUUAAUGUUUGAUGUUCUAACGUGGACCCGUGAUCCGGGUUGCGGACAGUGUCUGGUGGGUAGUUUGACUGGGGCGGUCUCCUCCUAAAGAGUAACGGAGGAGCACGAAGGUUGGCUAAUCCUGGUCGGACAUCAGGAGGUUAGUGCAAUGGCAUAAGCCAGCUUGACUGCGAGCGUGACGGCGCGAGCAGGUGCGAAAGCAGGUCAUAGUGAUCCGGUGGUUCUGAAUGGAAGGGCCAUCGCUCAACGGAUAAAAGGUACUCCGGGGAUAACAGGCUGAUACCGCCCAAGAGUUCAUAUCGACGGCGGUGUUUGGCACCUCGAUGUCGGCUCAUCACAUCCUGGGGCUGAAGUAGGUCCCAAGGGUAUGGCUGUUCGCCAUUUAAAGUGGUACGCGAGCUGGGUUUAGAACGUCGUGAGACAGUUCGGUCCCUAUCUGCCGUGGGCGCUGGAGAACUGAGGGGGGCUGCUCCUAGUACGAGAGGACCGGAGUGGACGCAUCACUGGUGUUCGGGUUGUCAUGCCAAUGGCACUGCCCGGUAGCUAAAUGCGGAAGAGAUAAGUGCUGAAAGCAUCUAAGCACGAAACUUGCCCCGAGAUGAGUUCUCCCUGACCCUUUAAGGGUCCUGAAGGAACGUUGA